AUUGAACGCUGGCGGCAGGCUUAACACAUGCAAGUCGAGCGGGGUGAUGGUGCUUGCACUAUCACUUAGCGGCGGACGGGUGAGUAAUGCUUAGGAAUCUGCCUAUUAGUGGGGGACAACAUCUCGAAAGGGAUGCUAAUACCGCAUACGUCCUACGGGAGAAAGCAGGGGAUCACUUGUGACCUUGCGCUAAUAGAUGAGCCUAAGUCGGAUUAGCUAGUUGGUGGGGUAAAGGCCUACCAAGGCGACGAUCUGUAGCGGGUCUGAGAGGAUGAUCCGCCACACUGGGACCGCGACACGGCCCAGACUCCUACGGGAGGCAGCAGUGGGGAAUAUUGGACAAUGGGGGGAACCCUGAUCCAGCCAUGCCGCGUGUGUGAAGAAGGCCUUAUGGUUGUAAAGCACUUUAAGCGAGGAGGAGGCUCUUUUGGCUAAUACCCAAGAUGAGUGGACGUUACUCGCAGAAUAAGCACCGGCUAACUCUGUGCCAGCCGCCGCUGUAA
Molecule: ribosomal RNA, 503 nt
Filed under: uncultured bacterium
Lineage: Bacteria
Description: partial 16S ribosomal RNA
Rfam family: Bacterial small subunit ribosomal RNA
Source: RNAcentral